This 72-nucleotide transfer RNA is filed under the name Phrynosoma platyrhinos (Desert horned lizard). RNAcentral's name for it is "tRNA-OTHER". Lineage: Eukaryota; Metazoa; Chordata; Lepidosauria; Squamata; Phrynosomatidae. The record is from RNAcentral.
UCCAGCAUGGGGUAAUGGUUCGAGUGUUGGACUGUGACUCUAGAGACCAGGGUUCGAUUCCCAGCUCAGCCA